GCUCGAGGAAGCUGGAGAUGA
Molecule: microRNA, 21 nt
Filed under: Bos taurus (domestic cattle)
Lineage: Eukaryota; Metazoa; Chordata; Mammalia; Artiodactyla; Bovidae
Description: bta-miR-2388-3p
Source: miRBase by way of RNAcentral